GACGAACGCUGGCGGCGUGCCUAAUACAUGCAAGUCGAGCGCGGGAAGCUUGCGGAAUCCUUCGGGAGGAAGUGAGCGGACCGAGCGGCGGACGGGUGAGUAACACGUGGGCAACCUGCCCGUAAGACGGGGAUAACCCCGGGAAACCGGGGCUAAUACCGGAUAGGUGACCUUUCUGCAUGGAGGGGUCAUGAAAGGCGGCGGAAGCCGUCGCUUACGGAGGGGCCCGCGGCGCAUUAGCUAGUUGGUGAGGGAAGGGCUCACCAAGGCGACGAUGCGUAGCCGGCCUGAGAGGGUGAACGGCCACACUGGGACUGAGACACGGCCCAGACUCCUACGGGAGGCAGCAGUAGGGAAUCUUCCGCAAUGGACGGAAGUCUGACGGAGCAACGCCGCGUGAGUGAGGAAGGCCUUCGGGUCGUAAAGCUCUGUUGUUCGUGAAGAAGGGGUUGGCCAGGAAAUGGGCCGACAUUGACGGUAGCGAACCAGAAAGCCCCGGCUAACUACGUGCCAGCAGCCGCGGUAACACGUAGGGGGCAAGCGUUGUCCGGAAUGAUUGGGCGUAAAGGGCGCGCAGGCGGCCUCUUAAGUCUGAUGUGAAAGCCCACGGCUCAACCGUGGAGGGACAUUGGAAACUGGGGGGCUUGAGUGCAGGAGAGGGGAGUGGAAUUCCACGUGUAGCGGUGAAAUGCGUAGAGAUGUGGAGGAACACCAGUGGCGAAGGCGGCUCUCUGGCCUGUGACUGACGCUGAGGCGCGAAAGCGUGGGGAGCGAACAGGAUUAGAUACCCUGGUAGUCCACGCCGUAAACGAUG
RNAcentral lists this ribosomal RNA (814 nucleotides) under uncultured organism. RNAcentral describes it as "SSU rRNA". It matches the Rfam family "Bacterial small subunit ribosomal RNA", at positions 28 to 811 of the family's 1533-position model. The record is from RNAcentral.